Molecule: long non-coding RNA, 779 nt
Organism: Mastomys coucha (southern multimammate mouse)
Lineage: Eukaryota; Metazoa; Chordata; Mammalia; Rodentia; Muridae
Exons: 3
Source: RefSeq, a predicted model, not a curated record
UCUGUGCCGACUCUUCCUCUAUGCUGCCUGUGUGGUUUGGGCAGGUAUUGUGUUACAACAAUAUGUUAAGUAACUCAUGCAUAGUAGAGAACAGAGAAAGGCUGAUAGGCUAUUUCAGACCCAAACACCUGGACCUAUGGACAAUGAGAUUCAUGGAUGUGCACAGAGAAGGAACUGCCACAGAGAGCCUUGCUCAGGGGAAAGGGGGCUGGAAGAAAAUCUGAGAAAUCUGACACAUGAGUUGACACUGGCCGUGCAAAUCUCAGGGAUCAGCAGGUAGGAAGAUUGGAGCGUCUUGCUGACUCACUCAGCUCAAGCGUGUGACGUGGGAUCUUGUUUUAUUUGACCUGGAAUACGCUAGGGUUGCACAACACAUGAGACUGUAGGAGAUUUGGUUGAAACUGGCCCAUGGAGUUCAACUACCUGAGAAACCUCCUUGAGCAAGACAGCCUAGGCAUGCUGCCCAAACCACAGGCUGUUGGCAACUUGGCCAAGAGUGACUCGUCAGAGCUGUUGACCUCCACAGUGCCGACGAAUACAAUGAGCUGCAGAAGAGAUUGGAUUUGAAAUUUCUCCUUGCUCUCACGCUGCGGAGAGGAGAGAAGUAGAGGAGCGAGACAGAUCAUAUAAUUGGGUGAGGCUUCCCACAGAGUCGCAGCCGACAAUACAUUGCCCUGUGCUUGAUUUUCAGAGUUAAAAAUUUACCUUAGUUAAAUAAGCAGACAUACUGAAAAGCAUGUAUUCCACCUAGAUUUAGGCUCCCCUCAGAUGUCUUUCAG